AUGGUGUGCCGCUUAGAGGCCAAGCCCUACUGGUCAGCUACUCGUGCGUCGCGACGGCCUCCUCCAGAUCCACCCCUCUGCACGACCAUGAUUGACUCUGAUGAGAUCCGACAUCACUUUUGCCUCUCAACUCACAAGAUAAUCAUAGGCCAUGCCAUGGCCAAAAUCUCCCUCUCACCACCGCGAUUUCUCUCUCGGCGUUCUUCCCGUACUAUGUUCUGGGUUGUUCGUUCCUUCCUGCCGAGAGAUCGAUUCCGAGUUAUUGUUGUUUUGUUUGCGGUGGUCAUCUCUUUCGGUGUGCGUCUAUUUUUGUUUUUCCUGGAGCAGAGUUUAUCUAAUCUUCAGGUCGCCGGUGCUCCGUCUGGUUUUUGCUUGCUUUACUAUCUCAUCUCACUGUUGGAUUCAUUUUACCAAUCUUUCCCGGUUUGGUUGCCGGCCGCAAAUUCUUUCCUUUUUCCCCACUCGGUGGCUGUUGUGACUGAUUUCGGAGUUUCCUUUCAAUUUUGUUCUCUUUUAGUAGAAUUUCUGUUUGGUCUGACUUCGCAGCGGCAACAUGAUCAUGGCGGAAGAUUCAUGCUUUUGCCCAAUUGUUUCUGUACGGAUUUCUGUCGAACAGAUCUUCUAAUGUUCGGGGUUCGCAAUUCAAUUUCUCAGCUUGUAGACAUUGUUGCUUUUUGGAACUGA
Molecule: ribosomal RNA, 684 nt
Filed under: Triticum aestivum (bread wheat)
Lineage: Eukaryota; Viridiplantae; Streptophyta; Magnoliopsida; Poales; Poaceae
Description: partial small subunit ribosomal RNA
Source: RNAcentral